UCUGCCCACCUAGAGGCAUUGUAGAUAGGACUGCAGUGUCCUGUUUGUAAUUAGGUGGCAAAGAGAAAGACUGUCUAGCCCAGUGUUCUUUAAUUUGUGAGCACUUAGAAUGAUUAAUAGCCUUAGAGU
This is a small nucleolar RNA of Trichosurus vulpecula (common brushtail), 129 nucleotides long. RefSeq annotates it as small nucleolar RNA SNORA17. The transcript has a single exon. Lineage: Eukaryota; Metazoa; Chordata; Mammalia; Diprotodontia; Phalangeridae. The record is from RefSeq and is a predicted model, not a curated record.